UACGUAGGUGGCAAGCGUUGUCCGGAUUUAUUGGGCGUAAAGCGAGCGCAGGCGGUUCUUUAAGUCUGAUGUGAAAGCCCCCGGCUCAACCGGGGAGGGUCAUUGGAAACUGGGGAACUUGAGUGCAGAAGAGGAGAGUGGAAUUCCAUGUGUAGCGGUGAAAUGCGUAGAUAUAUGGAGGAACACCGGUGGCGAAAGCGGCUCUCUGGACUGUAACUGACACUGAGGCUCGAAAGCGUGGGUAGCAAACAGG
RNAcentral lists this ribosomal RNA (253 nucleotides) under uncultured microorganism. RNAcentral describes it as "partial 16S ribosomal RNA". It matches the Rfam family "Bacterial small subunit ribosomal RNA", at positions 524 to 776 of the family's 1533-position model. The record is from RNAcentral.